CAUUUUGUUAUUUGGAUGCUGCUC
RNAcentral lists this non-coding RNA (24 nucleotides) under Arabidopsis thaliana (thale cress). Lineage: Eukaryota; Viridiplantae; Streptophyta; Magnoliopsida; Brassicales; Brassicaceae. The record is from RNAcentral.